CUCUCCUACGGGGGGCAGCAGUAGGGAAUAUUGCUCAAUGGGGGAAACCCUGAAGCAGCAACGCCGCGUGGAGGAUGAAGGUUUUCGGAUUGUAAACUCCUUUUGUUAGAGAAGAUAAUGACGGUAUCUAACGAAUAAGCACCGGCUAACUCCGUGCCAGCAGCCGCGGUAAUACGUAGGGAGCGAGCGUUGUCCGGAUUUACUGGGUGUAAAGGGUGCGUAGGCGGCUUGGCAAGUCAGUAGUGAAAUCCAUGGGCUUAACCCAUGAACUGCUAUUGAAACUGUUAUUCUAGAGUAUGGGAGCG
RNAcentral lists this ribosomal RNA (305 nucleotides) under uncultured bacterium. Its description in RNAcentral is "bacterial SSU rRNA". It matches the Rfam family "Bacterial small subunit ribosomal RNA", at positions 334 to 656 of the family's 1533-position model. The record is from RNAcentral.